RNAcentral lists this transfer RNA (76 nucleotides) under Falsiroseomonas tokyonensis. RNAcentral's name for it is "tRNA-Ala". It matches the Rfam family "tRNA". Rfam says of the family: Transfer RNA (tRNA) molecules are approximately 80 nucleotides in length. Their secondary structure includes four short double-helical elements and three loops (D, anti-codon, and T loops). Further hydrogen bonds mediate the characteristic L-shaped molecular structure. tRNAs have two regions of fundamental functional importance: the anti-codon, which is responsible for specific mRNA codon recognition, and the 3' end, to which the tRNAs corresponding amino acid is attached (by aminoacyl-tRNA synthetases). tRNAs cope with the degeneracy of the genetic code in two manners: having more than one tRNA (with a specific anti-codon) for a particular amino acid; and 'wobble' base-pairing, i.e. permitting non-standard base-pairing at the 3rd anti-codon position. Lineage: Bacteria; Pseudomonadati; Pseudomonadota; Alphaproteobacteria; Acetobacterales; Roseomonadaceae. The record is from RNAcentral. RNAcentral also lists the same sequence under 13 other names.
GGGGGUGUAGCUCAGUUGGUAGAGCGCGUCGUUCGCAAUGACGAGGUCAGCGGUUCGAUCCCGCUCACCUCCACCA